UAUGCCAGGUUCACUAAACUCA
RNAcentral lists this non-coding RNA (22 nucleotides) under Arabidopsis thaliana (thale cress). Lineage: Eukaryota; Viridiplantae; Streptophyta; Magnoliopsida; Brassicales; Brassicaceae. The record is from RNAcentral.